UACGUAGGGGGCAAGCGUUGUCCGGAAUUAUUGGGCGUAAAGAGCUCGUAGGCGGUCUGUCGCGUCUGCUGUGAAAACCCGAGGCUCAACCUCGGGCCUGCAGUGGGUACGGGCAGACUAGAGUGCGGUAGGGGGAGAAUGGAAUUCCUGGUGUAGCGGUGGAAUGCGCAGAUAUCAGGAGGAACACCGAUGGCGAAGGCAGUUCUCUGGGCCGUAACUGACGCUGAGGAGCGAAAGCGUGGGGAGCGAACAGG
This 254-nucleotide ribosomal RNA is filed under the name uncultured bacterium. RNAcentral describes it as "partial 16S ribosomal RNA". It matches the Rfam family "Bacterial small subunit ribosomal RNA", at positions 524 to 776 of the family's 1533-position model. The record is from RNAcentral.